GAAAAGUUUUCACCAAUCCAACCAAGGAUGUUAAUGUUUCAGUCCUCAGUUAACAUUGUAUGCUAUGCAAUAAAAAGCAUGUAAAACUGAUUGAAUUUGUAAUUAUUGUUCCUCUGAACACCUCCGUAGAAUCACGCCCAGUGCCCCAUUUUGCCCAUGCUGUUGUUAACCAUUUAAGUUCAAGUCUACAGCCUUGGCAAACUACUAACUUAUAGUUGCUAAAAGAUUACUGCAAUCAGAAGCAAGUUUGAACUGUGAAUACC
Molecule: unclassified non-coding RNA, 263 nt
Filed under: Hevea brasiliensis (rubber tree)
Lineage: Eukaryota; Viridiplantae; Streptophyta; Magnoliopsida; Malpighiales; Euphorbiaceae
Source: RNAcentral